GGUUAAGCGACUAAGCGUACACGGUGGAUGCCCUGGCAGUCAGAGGCGAUGAAGGGCGUGCUAAUCUGCGAUAAGCGCCGGUAAGGUGAUAUGAACCGUUAUAACCGGCGAUACCCGAAUGGGGAAACCCAGUGUGACUCGUCACACUAUCAUUAACUGAAUCCAUAGGUUAAUGAGGCGAACCGGGGGAACUGAAACAUCUAAGUACCCCGAGGAAAAGAAAUCAACCGAGAUUCCCCCAGUAGCGGCGAGCGAACGGGGAGGAGCCCAGAGCCUGAAUCAGCAUGUGUGUUAGUGGAAGCGUCUGGAAAGGCGCGCGAUACAGGGUGACAGCCCCGUACACAAAAGCGCAUGUGCUGUGAGCUCGAUGAGUAGGGCGGGACACGUGGUAUCCUGUCUGAAUAUGGGGGGACCAUCCUCCAAGGCUAAAUACUCCUGACUGACCGAUAGUGAACCAGUACCGUGAGGGAAAGGCGAAAAGAACCCCGGCGAGGGGAGUGAAAAAGAACCUGAAACCGUGUACGUACAAGCAGUGGGAGCACAGGUUUACCUGUGUGACUGCGUACCUUUUGUAUAAUGGGUCAGCGACUUAUAUUCUGUAGCAAGGUUAACCGAAUAGGGGAGCCGUAGGGAAACCGAGUCUUAACCGGGCGUUAAGUUGCAGGGUAUAGACCCGAAACCCGGUGAUCUAGCCAUGGGCAGGUUGAAGGUUGGGUAACACUAACUGGAGGACCGAACCGACUAAUGUUGAAAAAUUAGCGGAUGACCUGUGGCUGGGGGUGAAAGGCCAAUCAAACCGGGAGAUAGCUGGUUCUCCCCGAAAGCUAUUUAGGUAGCGCCUCGUGAAUUCAUCUCCGGGGGUAGAGCACUGUUUCGGCUAGGGGGCCAUCCCGGCUUACCAACCCGAUGCAAACUGCGAAUACCGGAGAAUGUUAUCACGGGAGACACACGGCGGGUGCUAACGUCCGUCGUGAAGAGGGAAACAACCCAGACCGCCAGCUAAGGUCCCAAAGUCAUGGUUAAGUGGGAAACGAUGUGGGAAGGCCCAGACAGCCAGGAUGUUGGCUUAGAAGCAGCCAUCAUUUAAAGAAAGCGUAAUAGCUCACUGGUCGAGUCGGCCUGCGCGGAAGAUGUAACGGGGCUAAACCAUGCACCGAAGCUGCGGCAGCGAACGUAUCACCCAAGACAACUUUACGGAGUUGACGAUUGACGGAGCGAAGCGACGUCAAAGCGUUCAUUAAAGUCGAGUUGGCUUAGGGAUACGUUCGUUGGGUAGGGGAGCGUUCUGUAAGCCUGUGAAGGUGGCCUGUGAGGGUUGCUGGAGGUAUCAGAAGUGCGAAUGCUGACAUAAGUAACGAUAAAGCGGGUGAAAAGCCCGCUCGCCGGAAGACCAAGGGUUCCUGUCCAACGUUAAUCGGGGCAGGGUGAGUCGACCCCUAAGGCGAGGCCGAAAGGCGUAGUCGAUGGGAAACGGGUUAAUAUUCCCGUACUUGGUGUUACUGCGAAGGGGGGACGGAGAAGGCUAUGUUGGCCGGGCGACGGUUGUCCCGGUUUAAGCGUGUAGGCUGGUUUUCCAGGCAAAUCCGGAAAAUCAAGGCUGAGGCGUGACGACGAGGCACUACGGUGCUGAAGCAACAAAUGCCCUGCUUCCAGGAAAAGCCUCUAAGCAUCAGGUAACAUCAAAUCGUACCCCAAACCGACACAGGUGGUCAGGUAGAGAAUACCAAGGCGCUUGAGAGAACUCGGGUGAAGGAACUAGGCAAAAUGGUGCCGUAACUUCGGGAGAAGGCACGCUGACACGUAGGUGAAGUGAUUUACUCAUGGAGCUGAAGUCAGUCGAAGAUACCAGCUGGCUGCAACUGUUUAUUAAAAACACAGCACUGUGCAAACACGAAAGUGGACGUAUACGGUGUGACGCCUGCCCGGUGCCGGAAGGUUAAUUGAUGGGGUCAGCGCAAGCGAAGCUCCUGAUCGAAGCCCCGGUAAACGGCGGCCGUAACUAUAACGGUCCUAAGGUAGCGAAAUUCCUUGUCGGGUAAGUUCCGACCUGCACGAAUGGCGUAAUGAUGGCCAGGCUGUCUCCACCCGAGACUCAGUGAAAUUGAACUCGCUGUGAAGAUGCAGUGUACCCGCGGCAAGACGGAAAGACCCCGUGAACCUUUACUAUAGCUUGACACUGAACAUUGAGCCUUGAUGUGUAGGAUAGGUGGGAGGCUUUGAAGCGUGGACGCCAGUCUGCGUGGAGCCGACCUUGAAAUACCACCCUUUAAUGUUUGAUGUUCUAACGUGGACCCGUAAUCCGGGUUGCGGACAGUGUCUGGUGGGUAGUUUGACUGGGGCGGUCUCCUCCUAAAGAGUAACGGAGGAGCACGAAGGUUGGCUAAUCCUGGUCGGACAUCAGGAGGUUAGUGCAAUGGCAUAAGCCAGCUUGACUGCGAGCGUGACGGCGCGAGCAGGUGCGAAAGCAGGUCAUAGUGAUCCGGUGGUUCUGAAUGGAAGGGCCAUCGCUCAACGGAUAAAAGGUACUCCGGGGAUAACAGGCUGAUACCGCCCAAGAGUUCAUAUCGACGGCGGUGUUUGGCACCUCGAUGUCGGCUCAUCACAUCCUGGGGCUGAAGUAGGUCCCAAGGGUAUGGCUGUUCGCCAUUUAAAGUGGUACGCGAGCUGGGUUUAGAACGUCGUGAGACAGUUCGGUCCCUAUCUGCCGUGGGCGCUGGAGAACUGAGGGGGGCUGCUCCUAGUACGAGAGGACCGGAGUGGACGCAUCACUGGUGUUCGGGUUGUCAUGCCAAUGGCACUGCCCGGUAGCUAAAUGCGGAAGAGAUAAGUGCUGAAAGCAUCUAAGCACGAAACUUGCCCCGAGAUGAGUUCUCCCUGAGACUUUAGGUCUCCUGAAGGAACGUUGAAGACGACGACGUUGAUAGGCCGGGUGUGUAAGCGCAGCGAUGCGUUGAGCUAACCGGUACUAAUGAACCGUGAGGCUUAACCUU
This 2990-nucleotide ribosomal RNA is filed under the name Salmonella enterica. RNAcentral describes it as "23S ribosomal RNA". It matches the Rfam family "Bacterial large subunit ribosomal RNA". The record is from RNAcentral. Lineage: Bacteria; Pseudomonadati; Pseudomonadota; Gammaproteobacteria; Enterobacterales; Enterobacteriaceae.